This 28-nucleotide small RNA is filed under the name Bombyx mori (domestic silkworm). RNAcentral's name for it is "ovarian small RNA-36031". Lineage: Eukaryota; Metazoa; Arthropoda; Insecta; Lepidoptera; Bombycidae. The record is from RNAcentral.
UGUUAGUGUUCUCCCUUUCAUUGCCUUA